ACCAAAAAUCUUGCUCUGGGGUAAAUUGUCAAUACUCGGUCUCUUAUGGAGAUGGAUCCUUCUCAAAUGGCAAUCUUGCUACCGAAACUGUUACUUUGGGUUCAACAACAGGACAGGCCGUGGCUCUGCCUGGAAUAACCUUUGGUUGCGGAACAUACAAUAAUGGCUUGUUUAAUUCAAAAACAACCGGAAUUGUUGGCCUUGGAGGCGGCGAUAUUUCACUUAUUUCUCAAAUGCGAACUACAAUUGCUGGUAAAUUCUCCUAUUGUUUGGUUCCAGUUAGCUCAACCAAAAUCAAUUUUGGCACCAAUGGAAUUGUUUCAGGUCCAGGAGUGGUUUCUACUCCCUUGACUAAAGCCAAAACCUUUUAUGUUCUCACAAUUGAUGCAAUCAGUGUAGGAAACCAAAGACUAGGAGUAUCGACUCCAGACAUUAUAAUCGAUUCUGGUACAACACUUACCUUAUUACCACAAGGUUAUAACUCAAACUUGUUGUCAGUAAUGUCUAGUAUGAUUGAGGCACAACCUGUUGCAGACCCUACAGGAUCACUUGAACUUUGCUACAGUUUUAAUUCACUAUCUCAAGUUCCUGAAGUUACAAUACAUUUCAGAGGUGCAGAUGUGAAAUUGAGUCCUUCCAACUUUUUUGUGAAGGUCUCGGAGGAUAUUGUGUGUUCUGUUUUUACAGGUACCAAUAGCGUGCCAAUUUAUGGUAAUAUAAUGCAGACCAACUUUUUGGUCGGCUAUGACAUAGAACAACAAACUGUGUCAUUUAAACCGACAGAUUGCACCAAGCAGUAAUUAAUUGGGAAGCUUAAGUGAUAGUCUCCACUCUACUGGAGUUUUGUCGAGUGACUUUGAAGCCACUUUCUUCGGCCGACCGACCGAUUUCAAAUUCUAAUGCAACUGGAGCUGAAAAAAUAAAUGUAGUUUGCAAUAUUACUGGGGUGCCCCCCCGGGGGGGGGGGGGGGGGGGAAAUUUUGAAACUUUGUUUUUAUUUUUUGGUUUCCCAAAAUUUUUUUCCCCACAAAAACGGAUUAGCUCGGUUUUACUGUGUUUGGUUUUGAAUCAAUAAGGCAUAAAUUAAGAUAUUUGAUGUUAUUUGUGUCACUGUGUCACUCAAAAGAUCGUCAAUCACUAAAUCAACACAAAACACAAUAUCUGGUCCAUUAUUAAUUAACAAUCAUCUAUCAGUCGCCAACAGCUACGAUAUAUAUUCCACUCAACACUUUCUAACAGUUUGACAUAAUUAACUGCUUCACUGUAUUUUCUUUUGUAUUAAUUACUAAAGUAUAAGCUAACAAUAGUAUAUAAUUAAGAUUUAAUUAUUCUGAUCAGUUUCUAUAAUUCCCAUAGCCCAUUCUUUCAAUAUAUAUAAAAGCUUUUGGGUUGUCGUGUGGUGCUUGACUCUUAAGUCUUCAGUCACCGAUAAUAAUUUUGCCCUCAAUGGGAACUUAAGACCUUUUAUGCUUCCAUACGACGAUCCGAAGACCAUGUGCAUUUGACUCUGCUGGUUUUCGGUCCCCCUAAUUUUUAUCUCCCUUUGCUUUUCUUUAACCUCAAAGAAGGAAAAAUUCUUUAAACCAUCUUAUUGUUAUUGUGUGGGCCGAGAUCAUAAAACAUUGGUCAUAACCAAUAGUCCAACUCCUCAGUUAAUUGCUUUGCUAAAUAUGAAAAGAACGCCGCUAAAACACGCCACUAUAGUUCAAAUAAAACCCUGUGUCUUGUUUCCAUCAUAUUAGAAGAAAUAUAAAUCUAAUUAAAUCCCCAUAAUUUCUUUAUAUAAAGCAUUGAAAAAUGAUAUUUAUCUAAUCGUUAUAGAAACAACUAUAAAAUUAUAUGGUAUUAAUGUAGUUUUUUAAUUAAUUGUAACACCAUAUACAAUAAAACCUCGAUAAUUUAUAACCUCGGGACCAUGAAAAAUCUAUUAAUUUAGCUAGUAUUAGUAUAUCGAUAAAUUAAUAAUUUAUUAAUUUAUAAAGAUAAUAUCACGUUCGUAAUAGGGACUUUUAUGAAGUGUGGUAGUAUAAUUAGAUCUCUCAAAAUCAAAAAGUUCUGAUCCUUAAUUCUUUAUUGUCUCAAGGCUUGUUGUUGCUGGGUCUUCCCUCAAAUCUUUAUCAUGAAUAUUUACAUGUAAGCUUUAAUUUUUUUAAUUUAAUUUACCGAAUUUAGGGUUUUCAAUUGUCAAUAUAGGAUUUCUUAUGUUGAUUCCAUUUUAUUUGGAGCAAUUUCUUGUAUGUUUGGUUCAUUUAUUUUUCUUACAUUUAGAAGUAAUAUAUCAAAGACCAUGAAAAUUCUCAUUUGUGCCUUAACAAUCCGAAAUUUUGUAUAUCAUUCACAUAAUAGGUUUUUUCAUCUUAAUUAUUUCUUUUUAGUUAGCAAAUACUGAGGUGGAUCUGAAAAUUGUAUCUUAUAAAUUUGGGUAUAUGGACAUCUAUUAGAAUUUAAUCUACGUUCAUGCUUUUGGUCUUUAAUUAAUUGUCUGUCCCUGCCUCAUCUUGCUUGAAACAACCUUUUAGUUGUUUCUUGCUGUUAAUGUUUACAGCUUGUAGUAGUCUGUAAUCAUCGGAAAGAUUUCUUUCCAUAUUUUUUUUAAUACCUUUUUUUUUUCCUUGCCUAAGUGCGAAAUUUUUGUGCUAUAUUUCAACAAAUUGGGUUAUGAUGUAGAUCCUUUUAAAGUCCCAUGAUUUCUUAAUGAUUUUAAGUCGUGAACUCAACGCUGUUUAACGUAUCUGGGACUCGAUGUACUCACUAAAUUAUUAUUAUUAUUAUGAUUAUUGAGGAUGAUGAUAAUCAUCGUCAUCAUCCAUAUAAAUUGCAAACUUGUUAUAUAAUUGCCUGAUGAUGCAAAAAGGGAAAAGCAAUAGAGAUUAAAAUUUAGACCUUUCAUUUUAGUAUUUCUUUAGGGAGGGUGAUAAGAGAAUCAUUCUGUCGGUUUCCAACUAGACAAUGCAUAUAGCUAAAGUUUUGCAUCAAUAUUGUGAUGUUGUGAAAGAGAGAAAUGAGUUGAUUGAUGUGUAGUGUCUACAAACUUGGCACUGCAACUGCUGUGCAGUUUCUAAGUUUGAGAAUAUGUACUGAUUUAAUUAGAACUUGCAGAUUCUUAACAGCCAGAAUUUUCUCUUGAGCUACAACAUAUAUGGGUUGCAUUGGCAUUUUAAAGGAGGGAAGACUUCAGUUGAGGUAGAUCUUUAUGAUGUCUCAUUAUUUGUGGACUUUCCUUUACUAAUUUCAGUUUUGUUGUUUUUGUUGGCUGUACUGUUGAUUCUGUUGUUUUGUCACUUCUCUUAUUGAGUUGAUUUUAUUUCUUAUAUACUAAUAUCAAUCCCUCUGUCUGGUUAGGGUAAUGGUUAUUGUUGCAUUUUUCCAACCAAUUGAUGCUUAAGUGCGAUCCAUAAGUGAAGAUUUAUCUUGCUGAAUUUAGUCUCAUGCUCGUGGUUUUCUUUUUGCUUUGUUUAAAUGAAGAUUUAAAUUAAUCUAAAUUUUUUUGUUCUUGGUAGUUUUUGGGUUUUAUUUGUUAAGCUAGAAAACUUGAAUUUGACUUAUUAAAUUGGUCAUUAGACACAAACAAGAUUAUCAAUAAGCCCAUAUUGCUUGAUUAUUUAGAUUGUGCCCAUACAAAAGGACUAAAUGCUGAAAGUUCUCAAAAGCCUCUCAAAAUUCGUGAUAGCCUCGUGUUUUGUUUAUAUGAUUAGCAUCAAUACAUAAUUCUUUUAGGUUAAAUUGAAUGCACUAGUACUAAAAAAAAAAGAAAAAAUUGUUGUAGAAGGCGAUAUUUAAUUGGUACAAAGGCAUGAAUAAGUUAUCAUAAUUGCUCCUUGCAUUUGUGUAGUUCGUUCAUAUUCUUAAAUUGAUGUCUAACAUAGGUACAAACUCCUGCAGAAGAUUAAUUGAGUAGAUGGAAUGUGAAGAAAAAUAAAAUGGCUUCCAUGCGAAUUACAAAAUAUAGUUAUAGAAUUUCUUUAUUGAUGUUUGAGUUGAUUUAUUGCAACAUUUGAUUUUCAUUUCGUAUUAGGUAUUGCUAUUUUUAUCCUUUUGCCAUAUACUUAUUAUAUCCUUAAUGACCUUGCAUUUAUGGAUUGCAUGUCACAGUUGAAUGGUUUGGAUGAAUGUAAGCGUGAUUUGAAGUUAAGUACACCUUAAUUUUUCUAAUUUACUUAUAUGGGAAAAGUUUGUUAAGAAAGCAUUAUUUUGUUUCUUUUUUAUUAACAGAAUAAAAUUCUUAUUUAUUUUUAAAUUCAUAAUGCAGGUGAUCAAGGAUAUUCUGCAAAAAUGUAUUGAAGAGUGAGAACAAAUUGAAGAUAGUAUUUAAUACUUUUUUAAAGGUCACUAGAAAGUAUAGAAGUAUGAUAUAUGAUUAUGGAUGUUUAAGUAUUUUUAUUUUAUCAACGAACAAUGUAUAAUUUCUUUUUCAUCAAUAGAAUGACUAAAAUGAUGUAUUGAAUUAAUGAAUUGAAUGAAGAAUAAUUUCUUUUUCAUCAAUAGAAUGACUAAAAUUAUUUAUUGAAUUAAUGAAUUGAAUGAAGGGCAUUGAAAUGCUAUGAUAGCAUGAUGUUAAUGUUUUUGUAGCAUUUAAUAAAAGUUAUGUUAGACAAUUGCAAGGGAACUGUACACGAUUUGGUAGCGUUUUCUAAAUGCUCUCUUUGAACAAUGAUAGCAUUCACCUAAAGCGACAAAAGCUAAUUGCAUUGCACUAAUUCAAUGCUAUGUAUCAUAAUUUGUGGCAUGUAAAAAAUGCUACUAAUGUGUAAUACUUUUAGUUACACCGGCUAACUUAGCAUUGUUCAAAAUGCUACCAUUCACUUUAAUUUGGUAGCAUUUUUCAGAUGCUAUCAUACACUGUUUUUGUUGUAGUGUAAUUAAAGAAUAUAGAGAUUCUAUCAAGCUGUAUAAUAUGAUUCUAGUUUGAUUUUAAUUGAGUAAAUCAAUGACUUGAUAAUUCUUUUGCUAGAUUGCAUGGUUGCAUCACAAUUAGAUGAUAACACAUCAAAGAAGACUUUUUUGAGACAAUAUAUUAAGUCAAUUUUUCUCUUGUUUCUCUUAACCUAUCACAUAGAAUACAACACUGGCUUCUCUUCUAAAAGUUGUAGAGAAAUAACAAUAACCAAUGGAAUGCAUAAAUCAUUAUGCUAGUACAACAAAGAAAAUCUUAAACAUAUCAUAUGUGUUUAAUUCCAAAUUGGUUAAUUAUUAAUUUAUGUUUAGUUGAGUCCUAUAGAAAAAUAAGAUUUCUUAUUUUUCUACAACAAUUAUUGUUUAAUAAAUUUAUUGAAUUAUUAAUUUACUAAGUUGGGCCCACGUCUGGGUUGGCGAAAACUAUUAUUUAAUCAAUGUUAUUAAUUUAUCAAGUAUUAAUUUAUUGAGGUUCCACUAUAUAUAGUGUUAAUGUGUAUUCUGUUGUCAAAUAUAAAAAUAGUGCUGCUAUUAACACCUCCACUUACAAUGCAAAUAAAACCCCUUUUUGGUCACAGUUACAUCAAAAGAAAGAAAAUCCAUCCAAAUACUCCCUGAACCUAAUUUUAAUAGAUAUUUUUGUUACAUAUAUAUCCUUUUGUCUCUUUAACGUGUUUUACAACCUUUUGUCUCUGUUUUCCCUCUCUACAAUUGUUUUUCAACCUGAUGAUGGAUUUUUAAUCUUUCUGCAAUUGUUUUUCAACCAGAUGAUGGAUUUUUAAUCUUUAAUAUUUAUUCUUAUAUUUUGUAAAACUUCUCUUAAUCUAGGCUUCCUUUCAAUUAAUUAGCUUUGUUUCUUAGUUUUUAUUGCAUACAUUAUGUAUGAUGCAAUGCACUAUAUGAAACUUUAACAAUUAGGUUUCCACUAAAAAAGAAGUGAAUUUGAAAAUGAUCUCCUAUAAAGAUCAAAAGAUUGCAAAUUUGUUUUGAAUUUGAUUUGUAGUAAGAUUUAUAAUACUUUAUUGUCAUUGAUAUAAAUUAAACAACAAUACACUUGGCGUUAAAAAAGAAAUUAAUGGAGUUUCAAAUGAGAUAGAUUUUCAUUUAAGGAAAAAACAAAAAAACAAAACUGGAACAAGCCAAUAAUGAAGGAUUUGGUAAUAAAACCAUGAUUAAGACAAAAUAAAUAUUAGAGCUAGAAUCCGCUAAUAAUUAUAAAGAUGAUAAGGAUAUAUUGAGUAUAUAGUAAAAGAUGAAAUUUCAAAUUUUAAUAAUAGAUCUAUUGAGUAUUAUGAUGGGUUCAAAUAGAGCUCAUCAUAAAAGAAAUAUAAAUAAUAUUAAACUCUUAUAUUCUCUAAAUAUAAAGCUUAUUACACCUACACAAUACACAGCCACUUAAACAAUUGGACAUUUUUUUUUCCUCCUUACAAACACUUAUGAAAAUUGAUGCGGGUGCUCUUCGUUCAUAUAUAUAUCGUGACAAUAAACGGAUUCUAAAUAUGUACAUUUCCAAAUACAAAAUAAUAUUCGUUAGCGAGUAUUUACUACAGUUAGAAACUCACCUCAUACUUAUGUUAAAGAAUUUCUUGAUUGAUUUCCCUGGACAUAUUCCUGGGCAUUACCAGCAUGAAUUUAAGGAAAAAAUAACUAAAUAAUAACUAAAACAAUCAAAAUCCCCAUACUCUCAAGAAACCUUUUGAUGAAACGGAAACGUAAAGGGCUGAAAGAUAGACGAAACACAAAUUUUUGAAUAACAAAGUUUGAUUGAGUAAGCCUGAAUUUAAAAAAUUAGGAUUUUGGACCCCUUUAUAUAUAUAUAACCCUAAAUAUCGAGAAUUUAAUAAAAUAGAUAAAUUCAAAAUAUUAUUUUAUAAUAAAAUUCUCAUAAUUGAACUAAGAAAAGCAAAACAAACGGUGUUAAAAUCCGAUAUUUAGAAAAAGAAAAAGAUAAAAUCCUAAAAAGAAUUAAAAAAAAGAAAAUUCUUUAAAAAUGAAAAAUGACUAGGAAAGAAUCAGAAUUUCUGGCUUCUCCACGGGAUAGAAAGCCAAACUUCGAAAUAGUAUAUUAUACGCUAAAAACGGACACCUAUAGCCUAAGUUGUGCCCUCCGAAAGAUACUUCACUCGAAAUACACAACCAUCCCACAUCAUCUUUGAUAUUACCAUUACCUUAUACUAUUAAUUAAAGAUUGCGAAUUUAAUGUUCCCAACUUGCAACGAUUUUUGCAAACAACAUUUUCAGCAUUUGAGUCGAAGACAUGUACUUGUUUAAAAAUUUUGCUAAAAACAUGAUUUAAUAAUAAUACGGAAUGUAUUUGGUCCCUUAUUAAUAAUUAUGACGAUCAGAUUGUUUUAAUUAGUUCCGUACAAAGAAAUGAAAAGAUGUGUGUAAAUUGUAUUUGUAUCCGGCCUUUGACCUUUGAAAAUUGCAACGUUAAUAUUUUUUCGUGCAUCUCUAAAUUACAUUCUUUCAUGAUUCACUUGAAGAUUAUACAGCCAACAAAUGCUACAAAAUCCAUGCAAUAAUGGAAAUCAUGAGUUGUUAAUUUUUAAGAAAAUCAUUGUAUAUAAGGAAACUAGAUUAUAUACGUUGAACCUUCCUUAUUUUCCCUUUCUCAAUUUCUUAUUUCUAAUUCAUCUUUAACUCCAUUUCCUCCUAUAUAAACACCCAAAAAAGUACUCUUUUUAGUUACAAAUUAACAUCUUAUAAUUAGUCAUGGCAACUGUUAAUGCUUUAGCAAUUUCAUUCUUAAUUCUUUGUCUGUCUACUGUCUCCAUAACAGAUUCUAAGGGAGGCUUUAGCCUUGAUCUAAUCAGUCGUGACUCGCCUAAAUCUCCCUUUUACAAUCCUGAUGAAACUCACCACCAACGAGUCACAAAGGCCUUGAAACGGUCUGUUAAUCGUGUCAGUCAUUUUGAUCCAGUUAUUAUCACAGCAAACACUGCCCAAGCUGACAUAAUCUCAUCCCUUGGCGAGUAUAUGAUGAAUAUAUCAAUAGGAACUCCGCCUGUUGAGAUUUUAGCCAUUGCUGAUACUGGAAGUGAUCUUAUAUGGACUCAGUGCAAGCCUUCACUGAGUGUUACAAGCAAGCAGCUCUGUUCUUUGAUCCUGAACAGUCCUCAACUUACAAAGAUCUUUCUUGUGACUCAAGGCAAUGCACUGCUUAUGAGAGAACUUCCUGCUCAACGGAAGAAACUUGUGAAUACUCGGCUACGUAUGGCAUAGAUCUUUCUCAAAUGGUUCGACAAACGGCAGGCCUGUAGCUUUGCGCAAUAUAAUCUAUCAUGGCAACCUAAGGACUUUUGGCUGCCAAAGGGGUGGCAUCGGAUUCGGAUUAACCUCCAAAUCCGAUCGGAUAAAAACUUUGCAAUCCGAUCGGAUUUGAUUCGGAUUGGUUCGGAUCCGGAUCAAUCCGAUCGGAUUGCGCUUUGCAAUUAGAAAAACUAAAUAAUUGAAUUAUAAAUAAAAAAUAAUAGUUGAACGGCAGCCCCAAACUAAAUCCUUAAAAUCCCAAACUAGAAAGAAUCGAAGAAGCCCUUGCAGUCGCACAAAACCAGCCAAAGAAUGGAAGAAGCACUUGCAGGUUGCAGCUGCGCAAACCCAUCCAAAGAAUCAAAGAAGCAUUUGUAGUCGGCAGCCGCACAAACCCAGCCAAAGAAUCAGAGACGUUGCUACGCUUCCAGCUGAAGCCGCAAGCAAAAGUUGAAGUCCCAAACCCAGCCGCUGCAUUUAUUUGUUUAUUGCAAGGGUUUCCAAUGGAGUCGGAUCCAUCAAAGCUUGUGAGUUGUAGAGGAAUAAGAAUAGAUACUUUGACUUUCAAAAAGUUACAGAGAUUUGGGUCUCUUGACUUUCAAGUUUUGUCCGUCUUUCUCCAUUUGCUAGUUUGCUGCAUUUUUUCUUAUUUGCUCCAUUUGCUAGUUUGCUGCAUUUUUCUUAUUUUUGUGAUUUCAAUUUUGUACUGCAACUCGAAAACGAUCUGAAUUCAUCUGAUUUAUUUGAGAUCAUCUGAAUCCAAUUUCAUUAUGGUAUUACUGAUCCGAAGAAUUAAUCCGAAUUAUUCAUUCAAUCCAAAUCCGAUUCGAACAUAUCCGAAUAUGUUCAGAUCGGAUUCGGAUCCGUUUUGAAUUCGGAUUACAAUCGGAUGAAUUUUUUACCAAACCGAACAAUCCGAAUCCGAAUUUGCCCACCCUAACGGACAACCCCAUGUUCAUUUGUUGUUUUUCUAUCCCUGUUUUUUCCCCCCUCCUCUUCCCUUUUCUGAUGGAAAAAUCUUGGAACCAUCUUAUUCUGUCGGCCAAGUUUAGGUUUAACUCAGGUAAGUUAAAAAUUGAAAGUAACGCACAAAAUUUAUAAAACCUGCUUGUUUUUAUCAUGACAUCACAGCCUUAUAUAUUCAUACAAAUUGAAGUAAGAUUGCCGCUAUUACAUAUUACAUCAUUAAUUGGGCUUAAGUGUGACAAUAAGUAUUUAUGAAAUAAGUGAUCGCCUAAGGCUCCAUAUGUUAGGGAUGGCCUCAUUGUGAUCAUCUAGACCCGAUAUAUUAAGAAAACUCAUAUUUUUUAGUUCCUUAGUAUACUCUUAAAUUACUUAUAAGACGAAAGCCUAUUUUUUAGGUUCUCUUUAAUUGAUAAUUAUCUUACAAUUAAGAAGCUUUAUACAAAUUUUAUAUUUAAUAAUCUUAAUGUUAAAGAGCUAUAAUUAAUAAUAUUGUCUAAUCCUUAAUUUAUUAGUAGUUUCUCUAAGAAAAAAUUAAAUUAUUUAUCUAUUUUAAAAAAAUCUUAUUUUUUUAACAUUACAAAAUUUCUUCUGCUCUUCUUUAUAAGGAAAAUUAUUACAUUUUUUGGUUCACUUUUGAAAUUAAAAAAAAAAAGAAUAGUUUCUUGAAAUAAUAGUUCUAAAGGAAGUAAAAAAGAUACUUAUUGACUCCUUUUAUUUUUUGAAAUUUCUUACGCCAUGUUGAUUUUUUAUAUUUAAAAUUAAAAAUUAAUUAAACUUUGAGCUCUUAUAUAUUCCUUUUGAGUGUUGAGGUUGGUGAUAGUAAGGAGGCCUCAUAAAAAGUAAGGAGCUAGCCCUGCAAGGGCUUGCUAGGAUUUAUUAUUAAAGAAUACAAAAAUGAUAAGAUUUGUUAUUGUUGGAUUCCAAGUUGAGAUAUUCAUUUGCAGUAAAAGUUGGAGAGAGGGAGAGAAGGGGUGAGAGAGAGAACUAACAAUUUGUGUGCAUUCUGUUGGAAAUUUAGUUAGUUUCAUUUGAAAUUUUGCAUGGACAUUAAAUGUUGGGAUGAUCUUUUCAAAUUCUCUUGCAUAUGAAUGAAGGUUCGUGCUAUGCUAUAUAUAAUAUAACAUACAGUAACAUUUGAGUUGUCACCUAAAAUAAAACAAAAUCAUAGCAUGUGAAAAUAAUAUAAUGAAUUAGUUUGUUUAUUGAUGUAUAAAAAUUUUCAAUUACCAUCAAUCCAUUAGAAAACCUAGAAUUCAAUUUUAUGGAUAUUUUAAUAUAAUAAAAUUCUAAUAAUUAGAUAAAAAAAAUGCCUCUUAAAUUGGAAGUUUAGAGAAAAAGAUUAAAAUCUUUAAAACAACUGGGAAAAUAAUUUUCUGCUUGACUGCUAAUUUUUCCCUACUAUAAUCAAUAUCUAUCAUUUACCUUCUGCUGUCUUUAUAAUAGUCAAUCACCCCCUAAAAGAAUAAUUUUACAAUAUUAUCCUUAUUUUCAAAUAUAUUUUGAUUCAUAUUUAAUAUAAAUUAAAUAUCUUAUGAAUGGAAAUUAAGAUAAAAAAAAUCAAGCAUUAAAAAUAAGAAAUCUAUGUUUUGAUGCGAAUAAAAAAAUUAAUAAUAAACUAUUUUUUGUUCUUUUUUAUUUUUUAGACAUUUUCUUAUAAUAUAUAUUUCACAAUAUUUUAAAAUUAAAUGUAGAAAGUACAAGAAAAAUGUGUUAUUAUUUAUUUUAUAAUAUUUUUAUUAUAAUAUUUUUUUAUCAUUUUAUAAUAAUUUUGUUAUGUAUUUAUUAUAAGAAAAUAUUUUAUAAAAUAAAAAGUUCAAAAAAAUAUAAUUAAUUUUUUGUUUACAUCAAAACAUAGUUUUUUUAAUACUUAAUUUUAAUUUUCAUUAAUAUGAUUUAUUUAAUUUAUAAUAAAUAUGAAUAAAAGUAUAUUUGAAAAUAAGGACACUAUUGUAAAAUUAUACUAUCCGGAGGAUUAUUAACUAUUAUAAAAAUGGUAGGAAAUAAGUGAUAUAUAUUAAUUAGAGUAAAGAGAAAAUUGAGAAUCUCCCAAUUUUUAGUAGUGUUAAAAAUUUUAGUGAUGAACUACAACAGCCCAACACCACAAUACUAAAAAUAAUUUUAAAGUCUUCGUCAACAGCAAUUCAAUCAAAAUAUGAGCUAAAAGACUUUUUGAAUAAUUGAAUGUCACACGACCCCGUUUUACACUAUUUAAUGUGAUAAUGAUGUUUCUCCAAUAUACUUGUCGUCUCCUUUUUUUUUUUUUUUUCUUUUAAGCUUAAAAUCCGGAAAAUUCUUUGGAAGCAUGUGACUGUGCAAGCUAGCUGAAGUUCACAAAUUAAGGGUCACUAUGGAUUUUGGUUUCUUGAUGAGUAUUAUUGUUAAUCUUAAAAGAAGAGACAACCAUUCAUAUUAGGGGCCUAAGCUACGGUCCGCCCGGACCGGACAUCCCUGUGUCUCCAACAUUAUAUUUCAUGAACGGCUGCGACUAAUUUAAUUACUGUAAUUUGGAAUUUUUUCAACCGGUAGUUAAAAAGUUUCCAUGAGAUUUUAAAUGCUUACAAUCUAAUGGUUGAUAUUCAUCCGCAUAAUCUCUCUGAACACACACAUUCUCACUCUAGGAUUUAAAUUUUCAAUCUCUCUGUAAAAUUCACACAUCAUCUUAUUUAUAAUUAAUUUCUUUCUCUCAAAAACUAACUCCGGUUUUUUUUUCCCGUACAUAUUUAGGGUUUGUACUCCGAGUUAUUUCUUAUAACAAUUGGAUAUUGGUACAUUAAUUGAAACUUGGGUUUCUUCGUUAACUCUGAGAUUUUUCCCAUACGCAUUUGGUGUCUGUGUACUUUAUGUUAUUUCCAUAAAUCUUGGAGAUUUGUACAUUGAAAUUAGGAUUUGAAAUUUUUUUGUGGGAACAGCAACGUUGUGUUUUGGGGUUUGCAUAUGUACUCCGGGAUAUGAUCUUGUUCUCGUUGAUAUUGGGGUUUCCCAUCAGGCUUUCAAGCAACUACUAAAGCAAUAAUUUUGCGUCUUGUAGCUGUCUUGAGUUGCGUAAAUGAACCGUAACUCAUGGAAUCACGAUGUGAACAGAAAGACUUUUCGACUGUCAUACGACUCCAUUUGAUUUGAACUAUUUUAAUACGAUAAUGUGUGUUUCCCGUUAAUUUCGCAUCCCUAAUUUGUUGUUAGAGUGCAAUUUAUGCACUAGUUUUGCAUUGUUUACUUCCCUUAAUAUCGAUGUUUUGCACUUAAUAAUAAUGUUUUACUUGUGUUUUACUUUUGUAGGUGCAAUUCUAUUGAUUGAUGAUAAAAUUGAGCUAAAAGAUGAUGUUUAAGGAGAUUGUUCUCUUGGAGAAAUUUCUGAGCGUCAGAAGAACUUUGUUGAUAAGGCGUGGGCGCGUGCUGUCAACUGCGGACCUGCAGUUUUUAGUUUAACGUGUUUUGUAUUUUUGGUUAUUUUUGUAAUUACGAAUUUAAUAUUUCAGAUAUUAGUAUUUUAUUUUAAAUAUAAUUCAAAAAGAGAAGAGAGAGAGUAUUUAAGAGAGGAAUCUAUUGUGAAAAAGGGGGGAUUUUGGAUUGGAGAAAAAGAAACCCUAGAUCUAAUUUUUCUCUUCUCUCUAUGAGGAACUAAACUCAUUUUUCUGGUUGAAGGUUAAUGAAGCUUUGAUUCAUCACUACUGUGAGAUCUUUCUUGUGCUUUAAUUGUUUUAUUGCUUUUUGGGUAUUUAUUUAUUCUCUGAAUUAGUUUCAUGAUUAUGUUUGUUAAUUAGGUAAUUGGCCACUAUUUAAUUAUCAACUUAAUCUAUUGUCAAUUAAAGGAUUCAUCGUAUGAAGAAUUUAAUAUUUGUGACAAAUAACAUAGCAGAGAGUUGUGUUGUGAGAAUAAACAAUCUAAUUUAAAUGAAUCAUCAUAUGUGUUGAUUAGGAUUUGGGUCUCUCUGGUUUUUCAGGCUGUCAAUUGAUUAAAUUCUAUGAUCGUAUCUAGGGUUGUCUAUUGAUUAGGGAAAUAACCAACGGUCGUACCUUGGUUAUCGACUAGUUAAGGAGAGAUUGGCUAUUAGAGGGUCUCAGUAGCUAUAACCGGUCUAUUCAUGAGUAAUAAUAAUCUAUAUUUGAAUCAAUGAUCAGUAGUCGAAUCAAGCUGAGUUAAUUCCUUCAACCAGAGCUUUCUCCAAUUUGAAUUACAACUUUAAUUUGCAUUCUUGUUAUUUUAAUUUGAUUUUUAUUAUUGUCAACAAUUCCCCCAUUUUACGUUUUACGUUUCAAAAGGAUUUAAAUAAUUACCGAUCUCUGUGGACACGACCCUGCUCAAUCACUAUACACAAUUUAUUUAGAGUAGGAAUUUAUUUUUGUUGGCUUCGACACCCAUCAUUUGUUUUCUUUAAAGCUCAAAAAGCAGGACGGUUCUUUGAAAGUGAUACACCCUUGCAACCGAAGGCUGUAGCAGUUGGGUCACACUCUUUGAGCGAGUGCCAGCUCCCAAAAUUUAAAAAGAAAUAGCAAGUCUGGAGAGAGAAGUUGAGAAUAGAAGAAGAGUCGAGAAGAAUAAGAAUUGAUUCAUUUCAGAUGCCCUUUACAAAAGUUGGUUAUGCUCUACAUAUACCCCUCUAUCUUUACAGCUCAGCACACUUGUGGCAAAAAUGACAGCAAAGAAAUAACCCAGUGAAUAUAGAGUUUUAAAACAAAAAUCAAUUACACUACACGACAUAAUCCUUUAACCACCCAGGGGGCUUCCUUAUACGUGUGCUUUUCUGUGAUUCAUUAUGCUCUGCUCCCUCCUCAACAUGUGACAUGGUUUCUUCCUUGUUCUGCUCAUGAUCAGACUCAUCAUUGGGCUGCUCUUCCUGCAAAUAUUCUAGUUGGUUCAACUGAAUUCGGAAGGAUGUAUCAUUCCCUCCAGCUUCAAAACUCACCUUGUCCUCAAGGUGAAGAUCUGGAUAAAGGUUACAAAAACUUUCAAACUCUUCCCAAGUAGAAUCCUCAGGUGAACUGUCCUGCCAUUGUACCAGAAUUUGGCGGCAUUGUUCCCCUUGUUUAAGCACAGUUCUAACAGCGCAAAUUGCAGCAGGCCGAUAUAAUGGCUGAUUGUCCACACUAAUUGAUGGCAAGAUAUGAGGAGCAAGAGUUUGAGAACCAAGGAAACGCUUGAGAAGUGAAAUAUGAAAUACUGGGUGGAUCUUAGAACCACUUGGCAAUGCAAGCUUGUAAGCGACAGGACCAACUCAAGCUAGCACAGAGAAGGGACUAUAGUACCGUUUAGCUAGCUUUUGACAAGCACGAGUUGCCACUGUGGAUUGGCGAUAGGGCUGAAGUUUCACUAGAACUUGGUCCCCAAUAGCAAAUUGAACUUCACGUCUAUGGGCAUUAACCUUUUGAACCAUGCGAUGUUGAGCUUGACGCAAAUUCUCUUUCAAAGAGCGGAGUAACACAUCUCGCUCACUUAAUGCUGCAUCAAGAGCUUGGAUUGAAGUAGAGCCCUUGGAGUAAGGAGGGAUUGAUGGAGGUGGCCGCCCAAAAAGAGCCUGAAAAGGAGACAUUUUGAUGCUGCUAUGAUAAGAAGAAUUGUAGGAAAAUUCAGCCCACCCGAGUAGAGAUACCCAUGAAGUUGGUUUUUCUUGAGUGAAAGCACGGAGAUAUUGUUCCAAUCCGCGGUUGACCACCUCCGAUUGCCCAUCUGUUUGUGGGUGAUAAGCGGUACUGCGGCGAAGAGUUGUGCCACUUAACUCAAAUAAUUUCUUCCAAAAUUCGCUUAAGAAUACAGGAUCACGAUCAGAGAUAAUAGAGCUAGGAAAACCAUGAAGCUUGAUAACCAUAUUCACAAAUAAUUCAGCUGUCUUCACAACAGUAAAUUGAGUUGGGAGGGGUUCAAAGUGCGCUGAUUUAGUAAGGCGAUCAACAACUACCAAGAUCACUGUGAAACCACGAGAAACCGGAAGGCCAGUAAUGACGUCCAUAGUGAGCUCGUCCCAAACUAAAGUCGGAAUAGGAAGAGGCUGCAGUGGCCCCGCUGGUGCUUGAGUGGAAUAUUUGGUUUGUUGACAUACAAGGCACUCAGCCACAAAUCGCUCAACAUCACUACGCAUGUUAGGCCAAAAGAAAGUAGAUGCCAAUCGGACUAACGUGCGUUUGACGCCUGCAUGCCCAGCAAGUAGAGUAGAGUGGAAUUCAGCCAAUAAAACAGCUUUCAAUGAUGAUGAAGGACUGAUAUAAUAGCGAUGGCGAUAAAGAAGAAACCCAUUUUGGACCGAGUAAUCACUUGAAAGAGAGCCUACAGCCAAUUGGUGAUGAAGAUGAAUCAUAUCAGGAAGAGUGGAAUUCUCGGAAUGUAGGGUUGCUAACAACUCAAACGAAGGAUGACUAAGAAGAGGCAAACAAGAGGCAGGCCGUGUUGAUGGUUCCACCCUAGCCUCCUCAUGAACGCGUGAUAAGGCAUCUGCUGCAAGAUUAGUGCAACCCGGUUUAUAAUCAAUGCGGAAGUGAUAGCCUAAUAAUUUUCGGAUGUAAACUUGCUGAUCCGGAGUCUGGACUACUUGUUGUAGGAGUUCUUUAAUGCUUUUAUGAUCCGUUCGGAUUACAAAAAAUCUGCCUAACAAGUAUUGGCGCCAUUUAUGCACUGCUUCAACAAUAGCAGUCAAUUCUUUGAGGUAGGUAGAAGAAGCACGAAGUUGAGGGCCUAAUUUCUUGCUGAAGUAACAUAUGGGGUGUCCAUAUUGCAUAAGCACAGCCCCUAUCCCCACAUUAGAUGCGUCAGUCUCGAGAAUGAAUUCAGAGUCAAAAUCCGGCAGCCGCAACACCGGGGCUUCCACCAUUGCUCUCUUAAGGGCUUCAAAUGCUUCGGCUGUUGCUUGGGUCCACUUGAAGGCGUCUUUACAUAGUAAGUCGGUAAGGGUUGCUGCUAAAGAAGCAUAGCCACGAAUAAACCGCCGAUAAUAACCCGUCAAACCUAAAAAACCCCGAAGUUGUUUCGUGGUCUGAGGAGGUGGCCAGCGGACCAUAGCUGCAAUUUUCUGAGGGUCAGCGCGCACACCAGAGGCUGAAACAAUGUGGCCCAAGUAAUCAAUAGCUUCUUGACAAAACAAGCACUUGGAUAACUUGACAAAGAACUGAUGGAAUUUGAGGCACAAUAACACUUGCUCAAGAUGUCCGAAAUGCUCCUCCACUGUAGCACUAUAAACCAAAAUGUCAUCAAAAAAAACAAUCACAAAUUUACGAAGAAAUGAAGCAAAAAUCUGGUUCAUGGUAGCUUGGAAAGUAGACGGCGCGUUUGUUAAACCAAACGGCAUGACAAGAAACUCGUAGUGGCCCUCAUGAGUGCGAAAAGCCGUUUUAUAAAUGUCGCGGUGGUGCACGCGAAUUUGAUGGUAACCAGCCCGCAAGUCCAGUUUGGUAAAAAUUGCAGCCCCGCCUAAUUCAUCAAAUAAUUCGUCUAUGGUUGGGAUGGGAAAUUUGUCUUUAAUGGUCACUGCAUUCAAAGCCCUGUAAUCGACACAGAAGCGAUAAGUCCCAUCCUUUUUCUUCACCAAUAAGACGGGCGACGAAAACGGACUUUGACUUGGUCGAAUUAUACCUUGUUCUAACAUUUCACGGAUCAGUUUUUCCAUCUCGUUUUUUUGGAAAUGGGGGUAGCGAUAUGGGCGGACAUUUACUGGAGUUGUGUUUGGGAGAAGAUGAAUUUUAUGGUCAAUGGUACGAUGCGGUGGCAGUGCGGUAGGUGGGAGAAAUAGGUUGCGGUAGGUGUGUAGGAGGGUAACAAAAGGCUCUGUUAAAUUUGCAGGCAAUUCAAAAGGGGAACCCUCUGGAGUAUGUGCCGAUUCUUCCCCAAGCACAUGUACCGGCUGCAGAGUAAACAAAUGAGAAAUAUCAGCAUUGUGGACUAAAGCUUGCAACUGAUUAAGGGUGAUUAAGGAUGAAGUAGUGGAUAAAUCGCCGCGAAGAGUCACUGGUGCCCCAUUCCAACAAAAAUCCAUAGAAAGAGCGGAGUAAUCAUGAUAAACACGGCCCAAGAGUUGAAGCCAUUGAAUUCCAAGCACCACGUCAGGCCCCUCAAUUGGAAGAACAAAAAGAUCUACAGUGAAAACCAUACCCUGCAUCGUGAGAGCAACCUAUGGGCAAAAAUAUUUGCACACUAGAAAAUCCCCAUUGCCAAUAUAAACACGAAAAUUGGCUGUUGGCUGAAUUGGCAAGCCCAAACGUUCUGCUAAUGCUGGUUUGAUAAAGUUGUGGGUACUACCACUGUCAAUCAACACUUGAAAACUCUGAGAACGAACUUCACCUACCAAACGGAGUGAGCGUGGAUUGAUUUGCCCCGCCAAGGCAUUCAAACUGGAAAUAUCCCCUGUUACGACUUCUUCGACAGAAUCUGAUGACAGCAAUUCCUCACAAAAAUCAGGUUCGACAUCAUCCGUACCCAUAAGAAGCAAAAAUUUACUGCGACAGCGAUGGUUAGCGCUGUAUUUUUUAUCGCAGUUAUAACACAAUCCCUUUUCACGUUUGUCACGGAGCUCGGCUGGAGUAAGGCGGCGGAUCGGUAAGUUGGGUGUGGGUAGAAGUGGUGGUAACGGAUUUGGUUUAGAGAGGGAAGGAUUAGUUUGUGGAGGAGUGGGUGUGUAGGCGACACUAGUGGAAUGGACCGGCUGAGUUGAUGUAAGUUGAUAUGGGUGAGGUGGAAAUUUGGGUGAGGAGGAAUGUGUGUGAGGGUGGAGUGACGCGUGGUUCCAUUUUGGUACAAAACGUUGUCCCUGUUUGGCCUCUUCAGCACGCGCUUCAUAAGCACGAGCUAAUGCAAACGCCUCCAUCAAAGAAGAAGGCCGAGCAAAAAGCAACUCACGACGAAUAUCGGGUUUCAAUCCUGUGAUAAAGAAACUGAUCAAGAGUGGUUCGGAAAUUCCAGUCACUCGAUUCAUUAAAUCUUCAAAAGCUGUUUGAAAUUCCGCCACUGUUGUGGUUUGUGUUAACUUAGAUAAAUUUCCUUGAGGAUCGUCAUAGAGGGAUGCACCGAAGCGAUGUUUGAGAUUCUGUAAAAAUUCCUUCCAAGUUGUAAGCAGGCUGUUCAUCUUCAUCCAUUGAUACCACGCCGCUGCGCGGCCUUCCAUAUGAAAAGAAACAAUCCGUAAACGAAGAGGUUCUGAGGUACCAUGAAAAUCAAAGAACUCUUCAAUUCGGAAAACCCAUCCGUUUGGGUCAGAUCCAUCAAACUUAGGGACCUCCAUUUUCAUAGAGCGUAACACUGGCGAUAUCUCAGUACCACCAGAAUUUACCUCAGGGAAAUGAGAUAUUGGGUCGGGUUGAUGACGAGCUCUACCCGAGGUGGUGGAAGAGCCAUGGAUCUGUGAACGCAAAUCAUCGAGGCGAGAGUCCACUGUUGCCAUAUAUUGUUGCAAUGUUUGAUGCAACGACAAUGUUUGGCUUUCGAACUGCUCUUGAAUCGUCUUUAACACCUCAGAAUCUGCCAUGGUGAUAGCAAUGAAAGCACCAAUGAUACACCCUUGCAACCGAAGGCUGUAGCAGUUGGGUCACACUCUUUGAGCGAGUGCCAGCUCCCAAAAUUUAAAAAGAAAUAGCAAGUCUGGAGAGAGAAGUUGAGAAUAGAAGAAGAGUCGAGAAGAAUAAGAAUUGAUUCAUUUCAGAUGCCCUUUACAAAAGUUGGUUAUGCUCUACAUAUACCCCUCUAUCUUUACAGCUCAGCACACUUGUGGCAAAAAUGACAGCAAAGAAAUAACCCAGUGAAUAUAGAGUUUUAAAACAAAAAUCAAUUACACUACACGACAUAAUCCUUUAACCACCCAGGGGGCUUCCUUAUACGUGUGCUUUUCUGUGAUUCAUUAUGCUCUGCUCCCUCCUCAACAUGUGACAUGGUUUCUUCCUUGUUCUGCUCAUGAUCGGACUCAUCAUUGGGCUGCUCUUCCUGCAAAUAUUCUGGUUGGUUCAACUGAAUUCGGAAGGAUGUAUCAGAAAGCGUGUCAAUUGUGUGAGCCAAGUUCACACAUCAAUGGCUAAAGACAAGACAGCCAUUCAGACUAUGAAAUUUAUAUCGGCAACAGACUUGGUAAACGAUGAACAAUUGUAAAUUUAAAGCAUUAAUUGACUAUGCUAUUUUUAUACUAAAAGUCGAACAAAAUAUAUUUAAGAAAUAAGUCUUAAGAAAAAGCAAAAGCGUUUGCAUAAAAGAAAGACUUCGUAAAGAGUAAAACGUGAUAUAAAGACAGUGAAAGUGUAUGCUUACUUCACCUGUUGUGAUGUCAUCAUAGCUAGGCAUCAAGUAAUUAGACGAUAAGAUCAAAGUUUUAAGCUGUCCUCAAUGAUUCUCAUAAGUAUUAUGCUUAUAGUUUAGUUUAUAUAUAUAAUUUAUAUUUCACCAAUAAACAAUCUCGAUUACAUAGACAUGUGGCUAAGCUUGCUUCCCUUUCAUCUGGGCUAAGUUCACAUAGAAGAAGGAUUUUUAAGCCAAACAAAUUCAAAAAUUGUCACCCAAGUUGCAACAAUAAGAUAAUUGUCACUCUAACAAAAGCUGACUACAUGAGAAAGUUUCAUUUUCUUGGAAGCUCAUCUUCUUUACUUUUUUUUUUUUUUGGUCUUCUAUUCAAAAUUAAUUAAAUUUUCCAAAUUAUCACUGUGUCCUCCUCUAUAUAAGCAUAGACCCGUUGCCACUUUCUUAUUAUCUCAAUAACAGCCUUGAUUAUGGCAACCUUCUUGAGUUGUGCAUUCAUUCUCUUCUUUCUUUUUUUUUAUGUAGUCUCUCCAAUAGAAGCUCAAACUGGAGGUUUCAGUGUUGAGCUAAUCCACCGUGACUCUCCCAAGUCUCCCUUUUACAACUCCAGUGAAACUCCCUACCAACGAUUGAGAAAUGCUUUUACUCGUUCUACCAAUCGUCCCAAUCACUUUAAUCAGAACUCAUCAAUAUCUUCAUCAAAAGCUUCCCAAGCUGAUAUAAUACCCAAUAUCGGAGACUAUCUCAUACGUAUAUCAAUUGGUACUCCCGCGACUGAAAUACUAGCAGUUGCUGAUACAGGAAGUGACCUCAUAUGGACGCAGUGCGAGCCUCGCCCACCAUCACAAUGUUACAUGCAGGACUCUCCACUUUUUGAUCCUAAAAAGUCAUCUACUUACAAAUCUCUUCCAUGCUCGUCAAGCCAAUGUGCAUCUCUUAACCAAAAAUCUUGCUCUGGGGUAAAUUGUCAAUACUCGGUCUCUUAUGGAGAUGGAUCCUUCUCAAAUGGCAAUCUUGCUACCGAAACUGUUACUCUGGGUUCAACAACAGGACAGGCCGUUGCUCUGCCUGGAAUAACCUUUGGUUGCGGAACAAACAAUGGUGGCUUGUUUAAUUCAAAAACAACCGGAAUUGUUGGCCUUGGAGGCGGCGAUAUUUCACUUAUUUCUCAAAUGCGAUCUACAAUUGCUGGUAAAUUCUCCUAUUGUU
This 20518-nucleotide long non-coding RNA is filed under the name Citrus x clementina. RNAcentral describes it as "Citrus clementina (C. clementina) long non-coding RNA (CCLE_LNC003560)". Lineage: Eukaryota; Viridiplantae; Streptophyta; Magnoliopsida; Sapindales; Rutaceae. The record is from RNAcentral.